UACGUAGGGGGCAAGCGUUGUCCGGAUUUAUUGGGCGUAAAGCGCUCGCAGGUGGUCCGUCGCGUCGUGCGUGAAAGACCCCGGCUCAACUGGGGGGGGUCGUGCGAUACGGGCGGACUGGAGGCCAGUAGGGGGAUGCGGAAUUCCGGGUGUAGUGGUGGAAUGCGUAGAGAUCCGGAGGAACACCAGCGGCGAAGGCGGCAUCCUGGACUGGGCCUGACACUCAGGAGCGAAAGCGUGGGGAGCGAGCCGG
This 253-nucleotide ribosomal RNA is filed under the name uncultured bacterium. Its description in RNAcentral is "partial 16S ribosomal RNA". It matches the Rfam family "Bacterial small subunit ribosomal RNA", at positions 524 to 776 of the family's 1533-position model. The record is from RNAcentral.